GUGCUUGCAUUGGCAGCAUGUAGACUAAAAUUGGAACCACACAGAGAAGAUUGGCAUGGUCCCUGCACAAGAAUGACACACAGGUCCAGAAGCAUCCCACCUUUUU
Catagonus wagneri (Chacoan peccary) is the source of this 106-nucleotide small nuclear RNA. NCBI's taxonomy places the organism in Eukaryota, Metazoa, Chordata, Mammalia, Artiodactyla, Tayassuidae. The record is from Ensembl.